This 290-nucleotide ribosomal RNA is filed under the name uncultured bacterium. Its description in RNAcentral is "partial 16S ribosomal RNA". It matches the Rfam family "Bacterial small subunit ribosomal RNA", at positions 462 to 751 of the family's 1533-position model. The record is from RNAcentral.
GCGAAUUCAGACGGUACCUGCAGAAGAAGCGCCGGCUAACUACGUGCCAGCAGCCGCGGUAAUACGUAGGGCGCGAGCGUUGUCCGGAAUUAUUGGGCGUAAAGAGCUCGUAGGCGGCCUGUUGCGUCCGCUGUGAAAUCCCGGGGCUUAACCCCGGGCGUGCAGUGGAUACGGGCUGGCUGGAGGCAGGCAGGGGAGAACGGAAUUCCCGGUGUAGCGGUGAAAUGCGCAGAUAUCGGGAGGAACACCGGUGGCGAAGGCGGUUCUCUGGGCCUGUUCUGACGCUGAGG